Molecule: unclassified non-coding RNA, 862 nt
Filed under: Hevea brasiliensis (rubber tree)
Lineage: Eukaryota; Viridiplantae; Streptophyta; Magnoliopsida; Malpighiales; Euphorbiaceae
Source: RNAcentral
CUCUCUCUCUCUCUCUCUCUGGGGGUGUUUAGAUUGUAAGGGUGUGUAAACAUUUGGUGUGGUUUCAAACUGAACCAACCGAAAUUAGAAAACCAAAAAAGGCAAAAACUAAUAUUAUAGAAGCCAACCAAACUGAACAUUUUUUGUUCGGUUCAGUUCAUCAGUUCUCAAUACACAGAGGCCAUUUCUGAAAUUCUCAAUUCUAGAUCCAAAAUCAAUACAGAAGGAAAAAAAAAACCAAUGGGUCAAUACAGAAAAAAUAUUGCAAUUUCCAAACUGAAUCUCAUAAGAAUCUCAAGAAUCACAAACAAUUUUCAUAAAACAGAAUAAGAAAAGUUGAAUAAAAAAUUAAGGAAAGAAUCAACAAAGACAGAUGCCACACCCACAAGCCACAAACAUGGGCACUGAGUGAGGACCCAUGAAUGAAUGGAGAUCCAUCACAUAAUUUUCAAGAGGGAACGCGAGGCAAAGGGAUAGCCGUUGAGGGAGGCUGUGACUGCGUUUGUACUUCGGAGAUAUGCAUGGCUGAUGAGGGCAAAAGCAUGGCCAUCAAGGGUGGCUUCGUUGAGUGAGGCUUCCGGGCUUGAGGGAGUGAAGGCAAGAAGGACAGGUCACAAGAAGGCAGAGCAAAGGGAAUGGAGGCAGAGGGAUAGGGAAUGAAGAUGAGCUUGAGGGCUAGUGAGACUGAGAGGUGUGACGAAUCUGAGAGUCUCAGGCAUGAAACGAAAGGGAAAAGUGAGGGCAAGGAGGGGAAAUCUUCUUUUUAUACCAACAUUCAAAACAGCAGUGUAUUAAAGGGAGGAAUAUUGGUCUGUUCGGUUAGUUCAGUAAUUUUGAUAGGAUUAACCAAACUGAGCUGAAU